GUAGGUGAACCUGCGGAAGGAUCAUUAACACAAAUUCACACAUUUAAACAAGCCUAUAGCAGUCGUGCAGCAGCUAGUCUGCAGCACACAGCAAACCUAAACUAAAGGAAGCUAACUAAGCUACUUUAAAAACCAAAUUUUCAACGGUGGAUGUCUUGGUUCCUACAACGAUGAAGAACGCAGCGAAGUGCGAUAAGCAAUGCGAAUUGCAGAACCGUGAGUCAUCAGAUUUUUGAACGCAACUGGCGCCGGCUGGUUCUCCAGACGGCAUGCUUGUCUCAGUGUCUUAUUUCCCCCUCACCCAAAUCAUAAUGCAAGAGAUACCCUUCUCUUGUCAAGCAUGAAAGCGCUCUGCGCUCUGCGAGCUACAGUUUUCGAACGGUAGCGCUCAAUGCAGCGGUCACAUUGCUAUCAAUGUGAACUCAUUGAGAGCAGAGGCAGUCAGUAGGACUCUGUCUUGCUGGAGAGCUUAGCUAACCAAACUUCUAUUGUAUCUGAGAUCAAGCAGGAGGACCCGCUGAACUUAAGCAUAUCACUA
Molecule: ribosomal RNA, 538 nt
Filed under: Holosticha heterofoissneri
Lineage: Eukaryota; Ciliophora; Spirotrichea; Urostylida; Holostichidae
Description: eukaryotic LSU rRNA
Rfam family: 5.8S ribosomal RNA (bases 136-287)
Source: RNAcentral